GAAGUGCGAUAAGUGUCACGACUUGCAGAUCCCCGAGAGCUGACAAAUCUCUGAAUGCAAAUGGCGGCCAGCUAUCGUUGGUCAUGUAUCGCAGAGUGUAAUCGUUCAUACUCAUCAUCCUCUGAUUCUCUCUCAAGGGAGUUCUAGAGGGAUCUGCGCUUGGGGGAGGGUUCUCCUCUUUCGAGCGUGAAAAGUCAGAGUGGAGCGACCCCCCUCUCGAGGGGGAGAGCUCCAACUUCGGACAAUGUUCUCUCUACGAGACAUCCAAGAAGUUCCACCACGUGCUCUGUUCUAGUUUUUGUUAUUCACCUCUGCGAUGCAGGAAAACCCGCUGAACUUAA
RNAcentral lists this unclassified non-coding RNA (341 nucleotides) under uncultured fungus. RNAcentral describes it as "sequence contains ITS1". The stretch from base 1 to 101 matches the Rfam family "5.8S ribosomal RNA", at positions 50 to 154 of the family's 154-position model. The record is from RNAcentral. Lineage: Eukaryota; Fungi.